Molecule: ribosomal RNA, 49 nt
Filed under: Olea europaea subsp. europaea
Lineage: Eukaryota; Viridiplantae; Streptophyta; Magnoliopsida; Lamiales; Oleaceae
Description: 5_8S_rRNA
Source: RNAcentral
GAUGCUCGACAACGGAUAUCUUGGCUCUCGCAUCGAUGAAGAAGUGGCU